AGAGUUUGAUCAUGGCUCAGAUUGAACGCUGGCGGCAUGCUUUACACAUGCAAGUCGAACGGCAGCGCGGGGGCAACCCUGGCGGCGAGUGGCGAACGGGUGAGCAAUGUAUCGGAACGUAUCCUGUAAUGGGGGAUAACCAGUCGAAAGAUUGGGUAAUACCGCAUACGCACGAGAGUGGAAAGUAGGGGAUCGCAAGACCUUACGUUAUAGGAGCGGCCGAUAUCUGAUUAGCUAGUUGGUGGGGUAAAGGCCUACCAAGGCGACGAUCAGUAGCUGGUCUGAGAGGAUGAUCAGCCACACUGGGACUGAGACACGGCCCAGACUCCUACGGGAGGCAGCAGUGGGGAAUUUUGGACAAUGGGCGAAAGCCUGAUCCAGCCAUGCCGCGUGCGGGAAGAAGGCCUUCGGGUUGUAAACCGCUUUAGUCUAGGAAAAAGGGGUGCGAGGUUAAUACCCUCGUGCUUUGAUGGUACUGGAAGAAUAAGCACCGGCUAACUACGUG
RNAcentral lists this ribosomal RNA (505 nucleotides) under uncultured bacterium. RNAcentral describes it as "bacterial SSU rRNA". It matches the Rfam family "Bacterial small subunit ribosomal RNA", at positions 8 to 507 of the family's 1533-position model. The record is from RNAcentral.